AAUAAACCAAUUUUUCACUUUUUAUCUAUAAUUUUUGACUAUUCGUCUUAUUUAAAAAAAUUUUGGGAUUAAUAUUUUUGUUUUUAUUAGAUGAUAAAUUAUGAAUAGUACUUUACAUGUGACUAAUUUUUUUCUAAUUUUUUAAAAUAUUUUUAAAUAAGACGGAUGGUUAAACGUUGGACACGGAAACGGAG
Molecule: microRNA precursor, 194 nt
Filed under: Oryza brachyantha (malo sina)
Lineage: Eukaryota; Viridiplantae; Streptophyta; Magnoliopsida; Poales; Poaceae
Description: MIR812 microRNA precursor family
Rfam family: MIR812 microRNA precursor family
Source: Rfam by way of RNAcentral